This 1260-nucleotide long non-coding RNA is filed under the name Ornithorhynchus anatinus (platypus). Its description in RNAcentral is "lncRNA (ENSOANG00000043751.1)". Lineage: Eukaryota; Metazoa; Chordata; Mammalia; Monotremata; Ornithorhynchidae. The record is from RNAcentral.
UUGUGACUGCCUGGGAGGGUGGGAGCAGUGGCUGGCAGAACUUUGUCUUCUCCUGGUGAGUGGGAGCUUGGAGACUCCACCUUCCAAAAUUGGCGCCGCUCUCUCCGGAGUUGGAAUCGAAGAUCUGGGUCACCCUCCGUGGACCUAUGGAUUUGCGGCACACCCCCUCCCUCCCUGCUCUUCAGGAAAAAAAAGGUAGGUUCCUAGAAAUACAAUGUUUUCCUUUGGUGGAGUAGCAGAGGCCAACCACUGGAAUCCACAUUCACUGGACUAAUAAUCUCAGGCCUUUCAACUGAGCAAUCAAAGUGUUCUCCAGUCAGAGUUUGCCAGGGGCCAGUUGCUUCUAGGAGGCGCAGGUAAUUAAUAUUGUUUGACCCUUCCUCCCUGCACCUUCAGAAGGGAAGUGAGCGAGAGCUGUAAUAAUCACCAUUUUAAGCGUGGAGUCACUUGCCGUUUUCUCUUUCUGGGCAAGAAAAUCUCUCUGAUGUCAGCAAGACUAAAGAAAAGGAAGGAGAGUAGAACACAGUGCUCUGACUAGUACCCUGAGCAUCCUUUAAGUGUGGGAAAGGCUCUCCAUUGCUUCAGACAAGCGAGAGGAACUUCGAGGCAGAAAAAGCUUUCAGUGCUUAGGAGGAAGACCCGGGCCUCGAAGAUUGCCUGGGGAGCGCCGGAAGUUUAUUUAACAUUCAGCCUGAGGAUUAAGUGUGAAAUCCAAGUGGAGGAAAAGAAAUCCUUGCUUAAGCCAACGGAGAGGCUAAGAUUUCACGUCAGGCCCCUUUAGGCCUUGAUGUGUGUCCUGGGAGCACUCGGAGCCAGAGGUGGGUCCAGUGGGGUUUUAUCUUGUCCAGCCGGCCCUCAGAGACUCCCCCCGUCAGGGGGUCAGGAAGUUCUGGUUGCAGGCUCGCUAUGAGGAGAAAAAGUGAGAUCCCACUUUGGACCAUGGGCCCAGAAGAAGUGCUAAUGCCAGUGCCAGUGUCCUGCCUGGAGCCCAGAAGCAAUGAAAAUGCUCUCACCCCUCAACGGGGAGAAUCCAGCAUCCACGUGUCUCCCUACACAACCAACAAGGAGCAACCUAUCACAACAGCUGUCCUACCAAAGCUCACAUUACAUUCCGGUGUCAUUCUUCAGCUCACAGGAGCGGUUUCUGAGACCCGACGUAUGUUUCAUCACCUCCUAAAGAGAAGGCGGGAAUCUCUGGAGGUAUUUCAAAACACUGCCGGAAACAUUACAGCCACUAUGGCAGACAACCGAAUCAGCUAA